This 216-nucleotide ribosomal RNA is filed under the name Glomeromycotina sp. RNAcentral's name for it is "partial small subunit ribosomal RNA". The stretch from base 40 to 216 matches the Rfam family "Eukaryotic small subunit ribosomal RNA", at positions 686 to 864 of the family's 1831-position model. The record is from RNAcentral. Lineage: Eukaryota; Fungi; Glomeromycota.
GGGUCAGUAGGUUGGUCGUGCCACCGGUACGUACUGGUCUCACUGAUUCCUCCUUCCUGAAGAACCGUAAUGUCAUUAAUUUGGUGUCGCGGGGAAACAGGACUGUUACUUCGAAAAAAUUAGAGUGUUUAAAGCAAGCUAACGCUUGAAUACAUUAGCAUGGAAUAAUGAAAUAGGACGAUCGAUCCUAUUUUGUUGGUUUCUAGGAUUGACGUA